RNAcentral lists this ribosomal RNA (253 nucleotides) under uncultured bacterium. RNAcentral's name for it is "partial 16S ribosomal RNA". It matches the Rfam family "Bacterial small subunit ribosomal RNA", at positions 524 to 776 of the family's 1533-position model. The record is from RNAcentral.
UACGUAGGGAGCAAGCGUUGUCCGGAAUCAUUGGGCGUAAAGCGCGUGUAGGCGGCUUGGUAAGUCUGCUCUGAAAGCCCGGGGCUCAACCCCGGGAGGCGGGUGGAUACUGCUGAGCUCGAGUCCGGGAGAGGCGAGUGGAAUUCCUGGUGUAGCGGUGAAAUGCGCAGAUAUCAGGAGGAACACCGAUGGCGAAGGCGGCUCGCUGGGACGGUACUGACGCUGAGACGCGAAAGCGUGGGGAGCGAACAGG